RNAcentral lists this ribosomal RNA (1425 nucleotides) under Plantibacter flavus. RNAcentral describes it as "bacterial SSU rRNA". It matches the Rfam family "Bacterial small subunit ribosomal RNA". The record is from RNAcentral. Lineage: Bacteria; Bacillati; Actinomycetota; Actinomycetes; Micrococcales; Microbacteriaceae.
CAAGGGGUAGCAGCGUAGACGUGCAAGUCGAACGAUGAAGCCCAGCUUGCUGGGUGGAUUAGUGGCGAACGGGUGAGUAACACGUGAGUAACCUGCCCUUGACUCUGGGAUAAGCGUUGGAAACGACGUCUAAUACCGGAUACGAGCUUCCACCGCAUGGUGAGUUGCUGGAAAGAAUUUUGGUCAAGGAUGGACUCGCGGCCUAUCAGCUUGUUGGUGAGGUAAUGGCUCACCAAGGCGACGACGGGUAGCCGGCCUGAGAGGGUGACCGGCCACACUGGGACUGAGACACGGCCCAGACUCCUACGGGAGGCAGCAGUGGGGAAUAUUGCACAAUGGGCGAAAGCCUGAUGCAGCAACGCCGCGUGAGGGACGACGGCCUUCGGGUUGUAAACCUCUUUUAGCAGGGAAGAAGCGAAAGUGACGGUACCUGCAGAAAAAGCACCGGCUAACUACGUGCCAGCAGCCGCGGUAAUACGUAGGGUGCAAGCGUUGUCCGGAAUUAUUGGGCGUAAAGAGCUCGUAGGCGGUUUGUCGCGUCUGCUGUGAAAUCCCGAGGCUCAACCUCGGGUCUGCAGUGGGUACGGGCAGACUAGAGUGCGGUAGGGGAGAUUGGAAUUCCUGGUGUAGCGGUGGAAUGCGCAGAUAUCAGGAGGAACACCGAUGGCGAAGGCAGAUCUCUGGGCCGCUACUGACGCUGAGGAGCGAAAGGGUGGGGAGCAAACAGGCUUAGAUACCCUGGUAGUCCACCCCGUAAACGUUGGGCGCUAGAUGUGGGGACCAUUCCACGGUUUCCGUGUCGUAGCUAACGCAUUAAGCGCCCCGCCUGGGGAGUACGGCCGCAAGGCUAAAACUCAAAGGAAUUGACGGGGGCCCGCACAAGCGGCGGAGCAUGCGGAUUAAUUCGAUGCAACGCGAAGAACCUUACCAAGGCUUGACAUAUACGAGAACGGGCCAGAAAUGGUCAACUCUUUGGACACUCGUAAACAGGUGGUGCAUGGUUGUCGUCAGCUCGUGUCGUGAGAUGUUGGGUUAAGUCCCGCAACGAGCGCAACCCUCGUUCUAUGUUGCCAGCACGUAAUGGUGGGAACUCAUGGGAUACUGCCGGGGUCAACUCGGAGGAAGGUGGGGACGACGUCAAAUCAUCAUGCCCCUUAUGUCUUGGGCUUCACGCAUGCUACAAUGGCCAGUACAAAGGGCUGCAAUACCGUAAGGUGGAGCGAAUCCCAAAAAGCUGGUCCCAGUUCGGAUUGAGGUCUGCAACUCGACCUCAUGAAGUCGGAGUCGCUAGUAAUCGCAGAUCAGCAACGCUGCGGUGAAUACGUUCCCGGGCCUUGUACACACCGCCCGUCAAGUCAUGAAAGUCGGUAACACCCGAAGCCAGUGGCCUAACCGCAAGGCUGGAGAAGUCUGAUAGAGUUUGCA